CCUAAAGCUAAAGGUGGCCUAGGCUUUUGGGAUAUGCGCGCCCUCAACCAAGCAUUAUUGGCAAAACAAGCUUGGCAUUUGUUGGAUAAUCCAAGGAGCUUAUGUGCACGGUUACUUAAGGCGAAAUAUUUCCCCAAUGAGAACCUGUUGGAUACAGUUUUCUCGAGUAAUGCUUCGGCAGUGUGGAAGGGUAUUGAGUAUGGACUAGAACUAGUCAAGAAAUGGAUGAUAUGGAGAGUAUGUGAUGGUCGUUCUAUUCGUACUUGGCGUGAUCCAUGGAUUCCCCGUGGCACAUCUUUCCGCCCUAUAACACCAAGGAGGAAUUGUAGACUGAAACGGGUUUCAUAUUUUAUUGAUGAUCAUGGAGCUUGGAUAAAGGAAAAAGUGAAGGAGUUUUUUUGGCCCUUGGAUGUGAUACAUAUUUUAAUGAUUAGAACGUCGCCUCGCCUUCGGGAGGAUUUCUUGGCUUGGCAGCCGGAGCAUUUAGCUCUCAUCCAGAUGGGAAGCGUCCAUUGUGGAGGAAUAUAUGGCAGAUCAUAG
Molecule: ribosomal RNA, 540 nt
Filed under: Triticum aestivum (bread wheat)
Lineage: Eukaryota; Viridiplantae; Streptophyta; Magnoliopsida; Poales; Poaceae
Description: partial small subunit ribosomal RNA
Source: RNAcentral